CAUUCUGUGGUAGGGGAGCAUUAUCUGCGCAGUGAAGGUGUCUGGUAAUGGAUGCUGGAGUGCAGAGAAAAGCGAAUGUAGGCAUAAGUAACGAUAAUGCGGGUGAGAAACCCGCACGCCGUAAGACUAAGGUUUCCUGAACAACGCUAAUCGGUUCAGGGUUAGUCGGGUCCUAAGACAAAGCCGAAGGGCUAAGCCGAUGGACAACAGGUGAAUAUUCCUGUACCAGCUUUAUUGAGUGAUGUGGUGACGGAGUAGUGAAAGGUCUGCGCACUGACGGAAUAGUGCGUUGAAGUCCGUAGGUAUUGGUUUUGCAGGCAAAUCCGCAGAACUAGCUGAAAGACGAUAGUACUCCACGGCUUCGGCCACGGAGAUAAUGACCCUAAUCAGACUUCCAAGAAAACCCGCUAAGCGUUUACAAUAAAGCUGCCCGUACCGCAAACCGACACAGGUAGUCGAGGAGAGCAUCCUAAGGCGCUCGAGUGAAUCACGGCCAAGGAACUCGGCAAAAUGGCCCUGUAACUUCGGGAGAAGGGGCGCUUCCUCCAGCGAUGGAGAAGCCGCAGUGAAAAGGCCCAGGCGACUGUUUAACAAAAACACAUGGCUUUGCGAAAUCGAAAGAUGAAGUAUAAGGCCUGACACCUGCCCGGUGCCGGAAGGUUAAGAGGGGGGGUUAGCCGCAAGGCGAAGCUCUGAAUCGAAGCCCCGGUAAACGGCGGCCGUAACAAUAACGGUCCUAAGGUAGCGAAAUUCCUUGUCGGGUAAGUUCCGACCUGCACGAAUGGUGUAACGAUCUGGGCGCUGUCUCAGCCGUGAGCUCGGUGAAAUUGUAGUCUCGGUGAAGAUGCCGAGUACCCGCAACGGGACGGAAAGACCCCGUGCACCUUUACUAUAGCUUAACAUUGACUCUGGAUAACUCAUGUGUAGGAUAGGUGGGAGUCUAUGAAGCGGUGUCGCCAGGCAUCGUGGAGACAACGUUGAAAUACCACCCUUGAGUUAUUUGGAGCCUAAUCUGGAAACGGAGACAUUGUUUGGUGGGUAGUUUGACUGGGGUGGUCGCCUCCAAAAGAGUAACGGAGGCUUUCAAAGGUACCCUCAGCACGCUUGGUAACCGUGCGCAGAGUGCAAUAGCAGAAGGGUGUUUGACUGUGAGGCCAACAAGCCGAGCAGGGUCGAAAGACGGAUAUAGUGAUCCGGUGGUUCCGCAUGGAAGGGCCAUCGCUCAAAGGAUAAAAGGUACGCCGGGGAUAACAGGCUGAUCUCCCCCAAGAGCUCAUAUCGACGGGGAGGUUUGGCACCUCGAUGUCGGCUCGUCACGUCCUGGGGCUGGAGAAGGUCCCAAGGGUUCGGCUGUUCGCCGAUUAAAGUGGCACGCGAGCUGGGUUCAGAACGUCGUGAGACAGUUCGGUCCCUAUCUGUUGUGGGCGUUAGAAGUUUGAGAGGACCUGACCUUAGUACGAGAGGACCGGGUUGGACAAGCCGCUGGUGCACCUGUUGUAUCGCCAGAUGCAGCGCAGGGUAGCUACGCUUGGAAGAGAUAAGCGCUGAAAGCAUCUAAGUGCGAAACUCACCUCAAGAUGAGACUUCUUUUAAGGGCCGUUAUAGAUGAUGACGUUGAUAGGAAGCAGGUGUAAAGGCAGAAAUGUCACAGCCGAGCUUUACUAAUUGCCC
RNAcentral lists this ribosomal RNA (1671 nucleotides) under metagenome. Its description in RNAcentral is "bacterial LSU rRNA". It matches the Rfam family "Bacterial large subunit ribosomal RNA", at positions 1219 to 2910 of the family's 2925-position model. The record is from RNAcentral.